This 497-nucleotide ribosomal RNA is filed under the name uncultured bacterium. Its description in RNAcentral is "partial 16S ribosomal RNA". It matches the Rfam family "Bacterial small subunit ribosomal RNA", at positions 28 to 507 of the family's 1533-position model. The record is from RNAcentral.
GAUGAACGCUGGCGGCGUGCCUAAUACAUGCAAGUCGAGCGAACAGACGAGGAGCUUGCUCCUCUGACGUUAGCGGCGGACGGGUGAGUAACACGUGGAUAACCUACCUAUAAGACUGGGAUAACUUCGGGAAACCGGAGCUAAUACCGGAUAAUAUAUUGAACCGCAUGGUUCAAUAGUGAAAGACGGUAUUGCUGUCACUUAUAGAUGGAUCCGCGCCGCAUUAGCUAGUUGGUAAGGUAACGGCUUACCAAGGCAACGAUGGGUAGCCGACCUGAGAGGGUGAUCGGCCACACUGGAACUGAGACACGGUCCAGACUCCGACGGGAGGCCGCAGUAGGGAAUCUUCCGCGAUGGGCGAAAGCCUGACGGAGCAACGCCGCGUGAGUGAUGAAGGUCUUCGGAUCGUAAAACUCUGUUAUUAGGGAAGAACAAAUGUGUAAGUAACUAUGCACGUCUUGACGGUACCUACUCAGAAAGCCCCGGCUAACUACGUG